Molecule: long non-coding RNA, 843 nt
Organism: Belonocnema kinseyi
Lineage: Eukaryota; Metazoa; Arthropoda; Insecta; Hymenoptera; Cynipidae
Exons: 3
Source: RefSeq, a predicted model, not a curated record
UAUACUUACAAUUUGACAGGUUGCUCAUUGUUUUGAAGGUUAUUUUUCAGAAGGAGAGUGAAUAAAUAAGAAAAAGAUUGUUUGUAGACAAAUGAAAAAUAGAAAUGUUCACUAAAAAGGAAUUGAACAAUAAAUUGUUAAUUUAUGCAAAUGAAGGGAAGUGAACGUUUCAAUUGACUGAAUAUGACGACUCUGCACCUGUCAUUAUUGAAGCUGUUAUUUGAAAAAAUUGUGUUCAUGUUUAAAUGUAAUUCAAUUUGGAUUUUUUAAAAGGAGCAGGGAGACUGUACGUAGGCAAGUACAGGCUCAAGAUGCUUUUAUUGGUUUUUAUUGAGAAUAUAAGAGCACGAAGUGGUGGCUCUGAGGCACAAUCAGUUUCUACCCGAGGCGCAGCUCGGUCGUCGUUUAUAUAGAGGAGUUAUGAGUCAUGGAGGGUGUUACCCAUAGUACAUAUCUAAAACCCCUCGCGUAGGGUGAAUCGAGACUCCUGGCAAGGAGGAUCAAACCUAUCCCUAAGACGUACAAUAUUCUACUGGACCAUGUCCAGGCAUUGUGUUGCCAAUAGUUGGCCUGUCGCUGUGCUAUUAUCAAAGCGUGCUUAGAUGCUAAAUCAUCAAUAGAAAGUGCAUUAUCUCGCACAGUGUCAAAAGUUAAUCUGGGUAUUCUGAAUUAAUGGAAUUGUCAUGUCUUAGUCCUGUAUGUACGUAGAAGUAGUCUGUCAGCUGAUUUGGUGCGACAAUGGCUGUUUAAUUGGAGCAUGGAGGCUUGAUUUAUAGAAAUUAUUUUUUCCAUUUGCCCUGGACAAAGUAUUAUAUAGGUUUCUAAUUUUGAAGGUAAAAUAAA